This 474-nucleotide ribosomal RNA is filed under the name uncultured bacterium. RNAcentral describes it as "bacterial SSU rRNA". It matches the Rfam family "Bacterial small subunit ribosomal RNA", at positions 28 to 507 of the family's 1533-position model. The record is from RNAcentral.
GAUGAACGCUGGCGGCGUGCCUAAUACAUGCAAGUCGAACGAAUCACUUCGGUGGUUAGUGGCGAACGGGUGAGUAAUACGUAAGCAACCUGCCUAUGGGACUGGGAUAACGUUUUGGAAACGAACGCUAAUACCGGAUAGGUAGAUUGGAGGCAUCUCUGAUCUAUUAAAGUUUAGAUACACCGAUAGAUGGGCUUACGGCGCAUUAGCUAGUUGGUGAGGUAACGGCUCACCAAGGCGAUGAUGCGUAGCCGGACUGAGAGGUUGAACGGCCACAUUGGGACUGAGACACGGCCCAAACUCCUACGGGAGGCAGCAGUAGGGAAUUUUCGGCAAUGGGGGAAACCCUGACCGAGCAACGCCGCGUGAGUGAAGACGGCCUUCGGGUUGUAAAGCUCUGUUGUAAAGGAAGAAUGGCAUGGAUAGAAUCCAUGAGUGACGGUACUUUACCAGAAAGCCACGGCUAACUACGUG